UACGUAGGGGGCGAGCGUUGUCCGAAUUUACUGGGCGUAAAGCGCGCGUAGGCGGUUCUUUAAGUUGAUUGUGAAAUCUUCACGGCUUAACCGGAAAACUGCGGUCAAGACUGGAGAACUGGAGAUUGGGAGAGGGAAGUGGAAUUCCAGGUGUAGCGGUGAAAUGCGUAGAUAUCUGGAGGAACACCGGUGGCGAAGGCGGCGUUCUGGACUGUUUCUGACACUGAAAAACGAAAGCCAGGGGAGCAAACGGG
This 254-nucleotide ribosomal RNA is filed under the name uncultured bacterium. RNAcentral's name for it is "partial 16S ribosomal RNA". It matches the Rfam family "Bacterial small subunit ribosomal RNA", at positions 524 to 776 of the family's 1533-position model. The record is from RNAcentral.